RNAcentral lists this ribosomal RNA (492 nucleotides) under uncultured bacterium. Its description in RNAcentral is "partial 16S ribosomal RNA". It matches the Rfam family "Bacterial small subunit ribosomal RNA", at positions 29 to 507 of the family's 1533-position model. The record is from RNAcentral.
AGUGAACGCUGGCGGUAGGCCUAACACAUGCAAGUCGAACGGCAGCACAGUAAGAGCUUGCUCUUACGGGUGGCGAGUGGCGGACGGGUGAGGAAUACAUCGGAAUCUACUUUUUCGUGGGGGAUAAUGUAGGGAAACUUACGCUAAUACCGCAUACGACCUACGGGUGAAAGCAGGGGAUCUUCGGACCUUGCGCGAUUGAAUGAGCCGAUGUCGGAUUAGCUAGUUGGCGGGGUAAAGGCCCACCAAGGCGACGAUCCGUAGCUGGUCUGAGAGGAUGAUCAGCCACACUGGAAUUGAGACACGGUCCAGACUCCUACGGGAGGCGGCAGUGGGGAAUAUUGGACAAUGGGCGCAAGCCUGAUCCAGCCAUACCGCGUGGGUGAAGAAGGCCUUCGGGUUGUAAAGCCCUUUUGUUGGGAAAGAAAAGCAGCAGGUUAAUACCCCGCCGUUCUGACGGUACCCAAAGAAUAAGCACCGGCUAACUUCGUG